CCAAUAGCGUAUAUUAAAGUUGUUGCAGUUAAAAAGCUCGUAGUUGAAUUUCGGGAUCUAUCCAUUGGUCGGGCCUCACGGUCCGUACUGGUGUUAUGGAUUCCUACCUUCUGAAUAACCGGGAUGUCAUUAAUUUGGUGUGCCGGGGAAGCAGGACUGUUACCUUGAAAAAAUUAGAGUGCUUAAAGCAGGCUUUUGCCUGAAUACAUUAGCAUGGAAUAAUGAAAUAGGACGCAUGAUUCUAUUUUGUUGGUUUCUAGGAUCACCGUAAUGAUUAAUAGGGAUAGUUGGGGGCAUUAGUAUUCAAUUGUCAGAGGUGAAAUUCUUGGAUUUAUUGAAGACUAACUUCUGCGAAAGCAUUUGCCAAGGAUGUUUUCAUUAAUCAAGAACGAAAGUUAGGGGAUCGAAGACGAUCAGAUACCGUCGUAGUCUUAACCAUAAACUAUGCCGACUAGGGAUCGGACGAUGUUAAUUUUUUAAUGACUCGUUCGGCGCCUUACG
RNAcentral lists this ribosomal RNA (501 nucleotides) under uncultured Glomeromycotina. RNAcentral's name for it is "partial small subunit ribosomal RNA". It matches the Rfam family "Eukaryotic small subunit ribosomal RNA", at positions 591 to 1092 of the family's 1831-position model. Lineage: Eukaryota; Fungi; Glomeromycota. The record is from RNAcentral.